GACGAACGCUGGCGGCGUGCUUAACACAUGCAAGUCGAACGGUGAAGGGGCCUGCUUUUGUGGGCCCUGGAUGAGUGGCGAACGGGUGAGUAACACGUGAGUAACCUGCCCCCUUCUUCUGGAUAACCGCAUGAAAGUGUGGCUAAUACGGGAUAUUCUGGGUCUGUCGCAUGAUGGGUCUGGGAAAGAUUGCGCCUUUGGGUGUUUUUGGUGGGGGAUGGGCUCGCGGCCUAUCAGCUUGUUGGUGGGGUGAUGGCCUACCAAGGCGGUGACGGGUAGCCGGCCUGAGAGGGUGGACGGUCACACUGGGACUGAGACACGGCCCAGACUCCUACGGGAGGCAGCAGUGGGGAAUAUUGCACAAUGGGCGCAAGCCUGAUGCAGCGACGCCGCGUGAGGGAUGGAGGCCUUCGGGCUGUAAACCUCUUUCGCCAGUGAAGCAGGCCUGCUCCUUGUGGGUGGGUUGACGGUAGCUGGAUAAGAAGCGCCGGCUAACUACGUG
Molecule: ribosomal RNA, 502 nt
Filed under: uncultured bacterium
Lineage: Bacteria
Description: partial 16S ribosomal RNA
Rfam family: Bacterial small subunit ribosomal RNA
Source: RNAcentral